Molecule: long non-coding RNA, 328 nt
Filed under: Elaeis guineensis (African oil palm)
Lineage: Eukaryota; Viridiplantae; Streptophyta; Magnoliopsida; Arecales; Arecaceae
Description: long non-coding RNA (EGUI_LNC004235)
Source: RNAcentral
AUGGCAUAAGUACGACCUCAUGAUAAUGAAGACAAACCAAUUGUCAUGAAUAUCAAACAUACAAUCAACAACAUACCAGGUAAUAAUAGCAGUCUAUUUAUCAGGGAAAGUAUUGGGAGUCAAUCUCAGAGGAACUACAUAAGACAGACCCUAGGGCAAGUUCUGAUAAACAACUUGGGAUGAAGUACCAUCUGUUUUUUCUUUUUUUUGCCUGUGGUGUCCCUAGUUGUUAAUCAUAUAUAGAAAAUGUCUAUAUCAUCCACUACACCUACACCUGAGAGCAAUAAGUCACUUAAAUAUAAUUUCAAUGGGAGCUUCUCUCUGUCUG